Molecule: ribosomal RNA, 261 nt
Filed under: uncultured bacterium
Lineage: Bacteria
Description: partial 16S ribosomal RNA
Rfam family: Bacterial small subunit ribosomal RNA
Source: RNAcentral
UUAGUGCGGACGGGUGAGUAACGCGUGGGUAACCUGCCCCAUACCGGGGGAUACCACCUGGAAACAGGUGCUAAUACCGCAUAAGCGCACGGGAGCGCAUGCUCCUGUGUGAAAAACUCCGGUGGUAUGGGAUGGACCCGCGUCUGAUUAGCCAGUUGGCAGGGUAACGGACUACCAAAGCGACGAUCAGUAGCCGGCCUGAGAGGGUGGACGGCCACAUUGGGACUGAGACACGGCCCAAACUCCUACGGAAGGCAGCAG